GACGAACGCUGGCGGCGUGCUUAACACAUGCAAGUCGAACGGAAAGGCCCUGCUUGCAGGGUACUCGAGUGGCGAACGGGCGAGUAACACGCGGGUGAUCUGCCUUGCUCUUCGGGUUAAGCCUGGUAGACUGGGUCUAAUUCCGGACAGGAGACAUUUUUAGCGUGAUGGUUGGAAAGUUUUUUCGGUGCAGGCUGAGCUCGCGACCUAUCAGCUUGUUGGUGGGGUAAUGGACUACCAAGGCGGCGGCGGGUAGCCGGCCUGCGUGGGUGGACGGCCACAUUGGGACUGAGAGACGGCCCAGACUCCUACGGGAGGCAGCAGUGGGAAAGAUUGCAGAAUGGGCGCAAGCCUGAUGCAGCGACGCCGCGUGGGGGAUGACGGCCUUCGGGUUGAAAACUCCUUUCGCUAGGGACGAAGCUUUUUGUGACGGUACCUAGUUAGGAAGCCCCGGCUAACUACGUG
This 465-nucleotide ribosomal RNA is filed under the name uncultured bacterium. RNAcentral describes it as "partial 16S ribosomal RNA". It matches the Rfam family "Bacterial small subunit ribosomal RNA", at positions 28 to 507 of the family's 1533-position model. The record is from RNAcentral.